RNAcentral lists this ribosomal RNA (840 nucleotides) under Ralstonia sp. Its description in RNAcentral is "bacterial SSU rRNA". It matches the Rfam family "Bacterial small subunit ribosomal RNA", at positions 213 to 1033 of the family's 1533-position model. The record is from RNAcentral. Lineage: Bacteria; Pseudomonadati; Pseudomonadota; Betaproteobacteria; Burkholderiales; Burkholderiaceae.
UCAUGCUAUAGGAGCGGCCGAUGUCUGAUUAGCUAGUUGGUGGGGUAAAGGCCUACCAAGGCGACGAUCAGUAGCUGGGCUGAAAACACAAAAAACUGUACUGGGACUGAGACACGCCUCAAACUCCUAGGGGAGGGGGGAGUGUUGAAUUUUGGGCAAUGGGCGAAAGCCUGAUCCAGCAAUGCCGGGUGAGUGAAGAAGGCCUUCGAAAUGUAUUGCUCUUUUGACCGGAAAGAAAUGGUUCUGGUUAAUACCCGGAGUUGAUGACGGUACCGGAAGAAUAAGGACCGGCUAACUACGUGCCAGCGGGCGAGGUAAUACGUAGGGCCCAAGCGUUAAUCUUAUUUACUGAACGUAAAGCGCGCGCGGUCGGUUAUCCAAAGACCGAUGUGAAAUCCCCGAGCUUAACCUGGUAAUUGCAUUGCCGACUGCACGGGUAGAGUGUGACAGAGGAAACUAGAAUUCCCACGUGGAAAAAGUCAAAUGCGUAGAGAUGUGAAAGGAAUACCGAUGGCGAAGCCCAGCCUCCCUGGGAUUACACUGACGCUCAUGCACGAAAGCGGGGGAGAGCAAACAGGAAUUAGAUACCCCUGGUAGUCCAACGCCCAAAACGAUGUCAAGUUAGGUGUUUUUUUUUUCAUUUCCUUAGAACCGUAGCUAACGCGUGAAGUUGACCGCCUGGGGACUACGGUCGCAUGAUUAAAACUCAAAGGAACUGCCCGGCACCCCGCACAAGCGUGGGAUUUAAUUUUUAAUUAAUUCGAAAGCAAACCGAAACUACCCUUAACCUACCGCUUUAACAUUGCCCACUAACGGUAGCAGAGAGUCUCCUAUAAGAUG